GGGAGGAGACUCGCCACGCCACCUCAUCUUUAGGAAACUCUGAAGCCCUGGCUUCUUGUGGAAUGUAGGGCUUUGUCCGGCACUUGGAGUGUAGGGGGAGCAAAAGCCAGAAUCUCCACCCCCCCACCCCCAAGAAUGGUAAAGUCAUCAGCAGUUGGGGGAAAAAAUUCCUCAAGAAGAAAAACAGAAAGAGGAAAGUGCUGAGCUCUGAGUUCUGUCUCUCUCCAAAUUUCCCCAAAUGUUUCCCCUCAUGAGGGAGGGAGAGGACCCGUCUGGGCUCUGAAGUCUGGAACAGGAGCAGAGGCUGCCCAGGUAUAAAUGUACCAGGCCUUCCAGAGUUCACUCUGCCCAUCUACAGAAGCAGCUGAGGUGGGAGAGGACGGCAUGAGAGACAAGACCACCGUAUCAUUCCAGCCCCAAUCGGAGAGUCCCAGACAACAGCUCCAGGCUCUCAGCUGGGCCCUGUGGCCCGAGGGGGAAGGGAGCAUGGUGGGCAGGGAGGAACUGCCACCUGGAAGGGCUUGAUGGGAACCAGCUGGCUGGGGUGGGGCCUUGGGAGUGUGGGUUGCGGGGAGGGCGGGGCCGGAGGCCACAGUGGGCGGGCAACUGACAGCUCAGGGCUGGGAGUGGCUGCUGGAGGCCCCCACCUUCCCUGAGGCUGGAGUCCAGAUGCCUCCACAGCCGUCCAGGCUCUUCCAACCCGCUGACCUCAUUCCCAGCUCCCUCCCGUGCAGCCCCCCUCAAUUGUCUGCCACGUAGACUGGAGCCUCAGCAACAAUCUCCGUAGGGGUGGCUGCGAGAGGAGCCAGGCACACUUAGCCCAGGAAACCUGCUAAGCCGGAGGGAGCUAGGGAAGGUAGCUGUGACCACUCGGUGCCUCAGUUUCCCCUCCCCAAACACGAGUCCCAGUGAAUGGAGAAGAGCGAGGUGUGAAGCGGGUUACAGUUGCUAAACAAGACUCAAGGUGUUGGGGGACCCUAGAGGUCACCCCAACCAUCCCUCAGUGUCUUGGGUCUGGAGUGUAUUGCUCUCAAGAAGGGGCAGAGGUGCGUGCGCAGGCUGGGGGUGUGUGUGUGGGGUCCCUCCUUUGUCAAAGGAAGUUCCCAGAAAGUUUGAAAUCCUUUGUGAAAUCUAGGCCCCCCCCCCCCCCCCCGCCACCUCAGGCUGCAUUAGGCUACAAUUUGCCAUUUUAUAGCAGAGAUAUAGUGAGACGAAUGUAGUGUCCUCUCCCUAGGCACCUUAGGGACCUCACCGUGAGUCCCUGGACUGAGCUCUCUCUACCUCUGACCUCUGUUUCUCCCUUGCCUCCCUGUCUCAGAGUGAGUGUCCCAGUUGACCCUGACUGACCAGGAAGCCAUCCCCAUUCCUGCUGGCCCACAGAGUUCCAGGCUUGUGAGUCAUCGGGGAAUGUCUGUUCUGCCUGCAGCUCCCAAACUCUAAGCCAGGGACCCUCUUGUUUGACAGGAGUCCUGGAAGCAGAGAGGAAGUCUUGCUUAAAGGAAAUCCACAAGUGAGCCAGAGGGCUUGGCCUCUCCCAGAGACGGUCCCUGCCUAAUGGCCGGCUUCAUCCAAGGUGGGGGAGCGGCAGAGCCCACAACUGCUGACUGUUUUUUUUCUGUGUCCUUCGUUAGGCACACACAGGUGAGGGCCUCUCUUUCUCUGUCUUCUCCUGACUAGCAGGCUUCACGGUGGAUGGGCUGGGCUUGCUCUUACCCUCCUCAGUAGCAAGUCUCCCUCGUAAGAGCCUAGGACCUAUGAGUCUCUGGUUCCCAAACAUUUGACACCUAGUGAGGGAAAACUUUGAGUGGUGCCUGAGCGGGAAGCUGGAGACCAGGAAAUGUAACGGGGUGAGUUUCUAGAGACGAGGGCUGGGAUCAGGGAGCCGGGACACAUCUCUCAGCUUCUGGCUCCAUUAUGAACUUAUGCUAUCGUCUGGUCUGUAUCCUCCUGAGACAAUGUCUGUGGAAGCCAAAAGAGAGUAUCUGAUUUUCUGGAGCCCGGAAGUGCAGGCGGUUGUGAGUUGCCUGAUGUGGGGGUCUGGAAACCAAGCUCAUGUCUUCUGCAAGAGCAGCAACUCCUUUUAACUGCUGCCGAGCCCGUCUCUCCAGCUUCUGUGCAGUUCGUUUUGGUUGUCCAUUUGAUGGACCUGGAGAUUCCCCAGCGGUUAGUAGUAUAGCUUAUUUCUGGGCAUGUCUGUGAGGGUAUUUCCAGAGAGAAUUAUCCGGAAGUUGGGAGACUUCUCCUGAAAGUAGACAACACCAUCCCAUAGGCUGGGAGCGUGGAUGAAAGAAAAAGGAAGCCCAAUGUGGCAGGCAUUCCCUCUCUGCUGCCUGGCUGCUCUGUCCCCUCACAUCCACCUCCUGCCCUGUCACCCCAGACCUGCAGCGAUGGGACAGUUGAUCGUGGAAGGAAUCGGUGAGCCCAAGCAGAUCUUCCCUCCUUCAAACCUUUUCAGGGUACCCUCAUCACUUACCAGUUUCUCUGUGCCCUGUGGGAACAGGAGAAGUUGGAAGUGCAGCCACCUAUAAUCAGAAUGGACAUCUAUGCCUGAGUGGGGCCCAUUCCUUGUGGGGCGGGUCAGAGGGUCUAGGUCAGCCCCAGGAAAGAUCAGGGCCCCUGCGUGCUCACGUGUGCGCAAUGUACUGUAGUAUAUAUACAAGUAUACACGUGUAUAGGCGAGUGGGGGUGUCACCUGCCCAUAUAUGUGUAUGUGAAGGCCAGGGGUCAAUGUUGGUUGUCUUUCUCACUUGCUUGUCACUGGGGAGAUUGGCUGUCUAAUAAAAAGCACCCAGAAUCUU
Molecule: small RNA, 2798 nt
Filed under: Rattus norvegicus (Norway rat)
Lineage: Eukaryota; Metazoa; Chordata; Mammalia; Rodentia; Muridae
Description: uncharacterized LOC102556395
Source: RNAcentral